This 458-nucleotide ribosomal RNA is filed under the name uncultured bacterium. RNAcentral describes it as "partial 16S ribosomal RNA". It matches the Rfam family "Bacterial small subunit ribosomal RNA", at positions 338 to 795 of the family's 1533-position model. The record is from RNAcentral.
CCUACGGGUGGCAGCAGUGGGGAAUAUUGCACAAUGGGGGAAACCCUGAUGCAGCGACGCCGCGUGAGUGAAGAAGUAAUUCGUUACGUAAAGCUCUAUCAGCAGGGAAGAAAUACUGACCUUACGGUCAGCAGACGGUACCUGAGUAAGAAGCACCGGCUAACUACGUGCCAGCAGCCGCGGUAAUACGUAGGGGGCAAGCGUUAUCCGGAUUUACUGGGUGUAAAGGGAGCGUAGACGGUGCGCCAAGUCUGGAGUGAAAUGCCGCAGCUUAACUGCGGAACUGCUUUGGAAACUGGCGAACUAGAGUGCGGGAGGGGUAAGCGGAAUUCCUAGUGGAGCGGUGAAAUGCGUAGAUAUUAGGAGGAACACCGGUGGCGAAGGCGGCUUACUGGACCGUAACUGACGUUGAGGCUCGAAAGCGUGGGGAGCAAACAGGAUUAGAUACCCGAGUAGUC